This 73-nucleotide transfer RNA is filed under the name Rubrobacter xylanophilus. RNAcentral describes it as "tRNA-Thr". It matches the Rfam family "tRNA". Rfam says of the family: Transfer RNA (tRNA) molecules are approximately 80 nucleotides in length. Their secondary structure includes four short double-helical elements and three loops (D, anti-codon, and T loops). Lineage: Bacteria; Bacillati; Actinomycetota; Rubrobacteria; Rubrobacterales; Rubrobacteraceae. The record is from RNAcentral.
GCCCGGGUAGCUCAGCGGCAGAGCAGCCGCCUUGUAAGCGGCAGGUCGGGGGUUCGAAUCCCUUCCCGGGCUC